GAGACGUGCGGCGAACGCCUGAUGCAGCCAUGCCGCGUGUGUGAAGAAGGCCUUCGGGUUGUAAAGCUCUUUUGUCCGGGAAGAAAUGGCUCUGGUUAAUACCUGGGGUUGAUGACGGUACCGGAAGAAUAAGGCCCGGCUAAUUACGUGCCAGCAGCCGCGGUAAUACUUAUGGUCCAAGCGUUAUUCGGAAUUACUGGGCGUAAAGCGUGCGCAGGCGGUUGUGUAAGUCCGAUGUGAAAUCCCCGAGCUUAACUUGGGAAUUGCAUUGGUGACUGCACGUCGGAUAGAGUGUGUCAGAGGGGGGUAGAAUUCCGCGUGUAGCAGUGAAAUGGGUAGAGAUGUGGAGGAAUCCCGAUGGCGAAGGCAGCCCCCUGGGAUAACACUGACGCUCAUGCACGAAAGCGUGGGGAGCAAACAGGAUUAGAUACCCUGGUAGUCCCCGCCCUAAACGAUGUCAACUAGUUGUUGGGGAUUCAUUUCCUUAGUAACGUAGCUAACGCGUGAAGUUGUCCGC
This 517-nucleotide ribosomal RNA is filed under the name uncultured Ralstonia sp. Its description in RNAcentral is "bacterial SSU rRNA". It matches the Rfam family "Bacterial small subunit ribosomal RNA", at positions 367 to 872 of the family's 1533-position model. Lineage: Bacteria; Pseudomonadati; Pseudomonadota; Betaproteobacteria; Burkholderiales; Burkholderiaceae. The record is from RNAcentral.